AGAGACAAGGACAAGUAGUGCAACUCAAUGAAUGGGCAGGGCAGUCAGGGUGACCGAUGGUUGAUGGUUUCUCAUUCACUGGCGAGUACUUAUUGUUGUGACUUGUCUGCAGAAAAAAAAAAGGAUAGAAAAGCCGUUCAAAAGUGACUUGUCUGCAGAAAAAUCAUUGUUGUGACUUUGCAGAAAAAUCAAACCCCUUCUUGUUAAUCCUUUCACAGUAUGCAUUAGCACUUAUCCCUUCUCUUUUCUGACCUUGCCACCCACUUCCGCUUGGGGUCAUGAAUCUUGUUAGCAGUAGUUCUGCGGAGAUUGUACAAUUAAUUAUGUGUUGAAUGAUACAGAAUUACUUAAUCAUUUAUGGUAACUAAUAAAAGAAAAAAAAACUGUGAAAUCUUUUAUAAAAAUAUUGUGUAGUUUCUUGCGUCCGUGGUUGCGCACAAAUUCAUGUUGUUAACCUUGCAAUCCUCUCUACCCACUUCCGCUUGGGGUCAUGAAUCUUGUUUGCAGUAGUUCUGCAGAGAUUGUACAAUUAAUUAUGUGUUGAAUGAUACAGAAUUACUUAAUCAUUUAUGGUAACUAAUAAAAGGAAAAAAAAAACUGUGAAAUCCUUCGUAAAAAUAUUGUGUAGUUUCUUGUCUGUGGUUGCGCACAAAUUCAUGUGGUUGCAUUAUGUGACAUGAAGUAUAUGUCCAUUUCACGUAAUGUGGCACCACAUGGCACAUUAUCAUUGGUGAAUCUUAAUUGGACGAAUUAAAUAUUAUUUACUUUAACAUGAUUAAAAUAAGUUAUAACCUAUAUAACUUCGCAUAUUUAUAAUAUCUUAUAAUCUAUAAUCACAUGUAAGUAAGUAGUUUGUGUUAAUUGUAUCAGUUAAAUAUUACUCAUUAUUAUUAUAUGAAAUAUAUUCAAUUCCAUUAUAUAUGCAUAAAAUAGAAUUUUGCCAAUAAAUAUAAUUACUAAAUGCAUAAUGAAUAUUAGAGGGAAAAUGCUUGCUAGGUUUUAAUGCUUCCCGUAUGGCCGUGGCUAAGAAUACAAAUGCUUACGUAAUAAAUUAACGCCAGAAGAUUUCUACAACUCCCUCAGGAAUUUAUUGAGAGUAAAAGUUCCAAUUACAAUUUGAUUUUGCCGGUGGAAGGGGGGGGGGGGGGGAGUGAUUUUAGCUUUUAUUUUAUUUUAUCCUUUUCUGUACCAGAAAGAAUAUAUAAUGCCACUUUGAUAAAUUAAAAAAAAAAAUGACCAUUAUGAAAUUUUCUUAAUUAAUUCCUAAUAAGUUUCCUAAUUGCAGUGGUUGGACAUCUCAAUUUCUUAUCAUUUGCUAACACAACAAAUAGCUAACACAUCAAAUAGCCUCUCUCUCUCUCUCUCUCUCUCUCUCUCUCUCUCUCUCUCUCUCUCUUUGCAGCUGCUCAUCCAGAUUGGAGAACCUGAUUUUUCAAAGUAAUAACUUUAUGGAGCCAUUUGAAGAAACCGUGGUAAUCUUUUCUCUGCCUUCUUAUGGUACUUUCUACUGAAUAAGCUAUAGAGUAGUCUGUCCAUGUAUGUAUUGACAUAAUAACAAAUUUUUGCUCUUUUCCAUAUCAAAUGCGGGAAAGAAACUUCCGGUGGGAACUUUAAAUUUCAUUUGCAAUGAAGUUACAUAAAAUUUAUUUCCUCAAAUUCGAUAUGACAAAUUGCAAUCAGUCAUAAUGAAGGUUCUUUAAAGGUACAAUUUAAAUUGCUAAUCUGUUUUUUUUUUAAAUGAAACUUUGUAAGAAAAUUGUUUGCAAGGUCCUAAGGUAGAAUAAUUGUAUAAUGCUUUCCUUUGAUAUAUUUUUCUUCCUUGUAUUUUUUAAAUAACCAAAAAAUUUGCUACUUUUUCGAUGGGUCAUAAUGAAAGUGAAUAUUAAGAUUGAGGCAUGCAUCUUCUGUUUUAAAGUUUUUUCCCUAAAGGAAAUGGGGAUCUACUCAUUUCAACAAGGGAAAAGCCAAAUUGACGAUUAAAAAUUGCACAUUUUACAAUAUCAUAAUUAUGUACUUGUCUAUCAACUCAUAUUGACUUUUUCACAUGCCGCCUAUCUUGACCAAAUUAAUGGAUAGAUAGAUGUCGUCUAAUGAAGAGUAAUAUGGAAAGAUCAAGUUGAUGUCAAUCCUAGUGAAGAUUCCAAAGGAGAAUAGAAUUGCCUAUAUCGACAAUAGACACAAACAUAUUUCUUACCUUAACAUCCAAUUGGGUUUUAAUUUUGUAUAGUUGGAUUUAAUGUUGUUGAUGCUAUGAAGCAAUGUCUUUUCAUGGUUAGUGUCUUUGGAGCAAAGUCAUCUUUCGUACAAUAUUGUGGAUUACACAUGCUCACUAUAAUUUCAAUGAUAUCAAGUUUGUUUGUG
Molecule: long non-coding RNA, 2361 nt
Filed under: Eucalyptus grandis
Lineage: Eukaryota; Viridiplantae; Streptophyta; Magnoliopsida; Myrtales; Myrtaceae
Description: long non-coding RNA (EGRA_LNC003933)
Source: RNAcentral